This 292-nucleotide ribosomal RNA is filed under the name uncultured bacterium. RNAcentral's name for it is "partial 16S ribosomal RNA". It matches the Rfam family "Bacterial small subunit ribosomal RNA", at positions 505 to 796 of the family's 1533-position model. The record is from RNAcentral.
GUGCCAGCAGCCGCGGUAAUACGGAGGGUGCAAGCGUUGUCCGGAAUCACUGGGCGUAAAGGGUGCGCAGGCGGGUCAGCAAGUCGGAGGUGAAAGCCCGUGGCUCAACCACGGAAGUGCCGUCGAAACUGUUGAUCUUGAGUCCCGGAGAGGUUGACGGAAUUCGUGGUGUAGCGGUGAAAUGCGUAGAUAUCACGAGGAACACCAGAGGCGAAAGCGGGCAACUGGACGGGUACUGACGCUGAGGCACGAAAGCGCGGGGAGCAAACGGGAUUAGAAACCCGAGUAGUCC